GGAGUUUUUACAGGUUUCUUGGCAGGGUGGGGAGUGGCCGUAUGGCCUCCUUUCUUUGAUUCAGUCUUCUCAGUCGAAGCUAACUUUGCCUUCUUAGAAACAGGGGUCUUGUUGGCAGACUCAUUUGGCCUCUUCUUGGCCGAUUCAACCUUCUUCGGUGUCUCCUCGUCACUUCCGGUACCAUCAUCUUCAUCGUCAGAGUCACUGUCAGCUCCGAGCAUUUCCUCAUCAGACUCAUCAUCAGAAUCCUCAUCAGAGUCAGAGUCGUCAUCAUCUUCAGAGUCAUCCCCAUCCUCCUUGUUAGGCUCAAGAGACUUAACAUCUGCCUUCUUUGAAGAUUCAGGUUUCUGACUCAAAAGAUUUCCAGCAAUAGACUUCUCCUUCUGGC
This 388-nucleotide unclassified non-coding RNA is filed under the name Hevea brasiliensis (rubber tree). Lineage: Eukaryota; Viridiplantae; Streptophyta; Magnoliopsida; Malpighiales; Euphorbiaceae. The record is from RNAcentral.